AGCAUCUCUGAGCGAGGGGUCAUCAUUGGGCAGGCCUUCUGAGAUGCAGCAGGGUUUGGAAGAAGACAGGGGAGGGGGACUUGGGUGGAACCUCCACCAUAACUUUGCAGAUUAUUUGGGUGUAAGGAUGCCAGAGGCCGGGGUGAUGGCGGAGAGGCUUAUCGGGGUGCAGAAACUUUUCAAGGCCAAGUGCGUCUUCCUGGGUCUUCACACUGGAAACAUACUCAUCCUCACGUUGUGUGACAGACUUGUCCUGAUCUAGCCCUGAGCUUGUUGAGCCAGUCCCUCAGUAAGAGACUGCUGGUGGGGGAUUGAAGAAGCAGCCUCGCAUCUUGGAAUUUUACCGCCUCUAGCCAUGGCCCCUCCCCGUCUGCCUACAAGGAGCCAUCUCCCUAAUUCCUGGUCUCACACUGAAUCCCCCUUCCAGCAGGAGCAGGAGGAGAUUUCCGAAAUCCAAACCAAACUUCAGGUGCGCAGCGACAAAAAGGACGCAGGGGAACUUCCCGGGUUCACUUCUGACCAAUAAAAUCAUUCUUUACAGGGUGCUGUACUGAGUCCAUCGUUUUCCUUUCGCAGGAUGAGGACUUGAGUUUCGUCUCUCAGGAAAAACUCCUAGGCGAGAGAAACUAAGGCCAGCAAAGGCCGCUGCCGGUGAAGGCUCUGGCACCAGCAACAAAGAAGAGGCCAGGUUUGCACAGCUGUUGCCUUAAGAACUGAAUAACAAAAGACUGAGACUUCAACCCAGACUUGGAGGGGAGGAGAGAGAAAAAUCACUAAAAUCCAGGAAGUAAAGACAGUGUCAGAAGUCUUCACAGAGUCAGGGGGAAAAAAGGGUUUCCAAAAGGCCGACGUCUGUGUUUCUGAGGGGAAUCAGGGCUCUGGAAGUGCCCGCCCAAACAGCUGCUGGAGGGAGGGAGAAACUAGAGGUCUGGACUGGGGGCGGGGGUGAAGGGUCCGUUUCUUCAGAGCUCAGAGACUGGAGAGCUCUUGGUUCUUGCUUUGAAUGCCUGGGGUCAAGCGAAGGAUAACUUAAAGAGCUUGCCCGCUGCUCUCCCUGACUUCUGGAGUUCACAGUACAAUGAAUCUUCCUAGUAGGAGAAGACUGGGCUCUGAGAAGGCAGAAGAGAGAUAUCCAUCCUUGCUUUGCAAAUGUUUCUCCGGGUUUAAAAAUAAAAAUCAGUAAUGACAA
Long non-coding RNA from Mesocricetus auratus (golden hamster), 1189 nucleotides. RefSeq lists it as uncharacterized. Lineage: Eukaryota; Metazoa; Chordata; Mammalia; Rodentia; Cricetidae. The transcript has 2 exons. The record is from RefSeq and is a predicted model, not a curated record.